ACUGGAGGCGUGAGGACGCAGAAUUGAGGAAGCCCGGAACUGCGCAGACUAAGGAGACGAGGGAUCCUCGAGAACCUGCUGCCGAAGGGGAAAGCCUGCAAGGACGGCCUGGUGCGCACCUGCUGGUGGAGGCCCAGGAAACGUGGGAGAACGACCGGUCGCCGCUGCGACGGCUUUCCGCUUCGGCAACAGCUUCUCAAGGAUCCCUCGUCUCUUUCGUCUGUGUAGUUCCGGGCUUCUCAAACUCUGCGUCCUCUCGCCUCAAACAUUCCCGUAGAACAGUCCUAUUUGCUUCUUCUUCAAUUUCGAACCUGGCCUGCUUUCCGCGAUACUUCCUGAUUCGCCGUUGGUCUUGGCCAAUCGUUUUCGCCCAUCGGGGCCUUCGCGCAGGCGCGCGUCCAGUCGUCGCCAAUCUCCGCCAAUAGUUUUUCUCGCUGUUAAUUUUGGCCAAUUGCCUUCAACCCACUUUUUGUGCUUUGCGCGGUCUCCCUCUUCUUCCGGUCAGCCGCGCUUCCCUACGCGGCUGUACCUCCGGUUGCAAUGCCUGAGAUUAUGAGGUUCUUUGGUUAUUCGAAAUCGAUUGUUUACCGGGUGGUUCAGAAGUUUUCGGUUUCUUAGCAAUCGAACGAACGUUCCUGUGAUCUGGGUCUUGGGAUAUCGCUCCGAAAUUUGGCUUCGAUCUUGGGUGUGAGCAAUAUCACUAUGCAAAGAAUUGCUGAAGAAGAACUGAGAUACGCAUCUUACGUCAUUAAAGUGCGACAAAUGCUUUCGAAAGAUGCCAAGACCGAGAGAGUUGCCCGCUGCCGCUUGUUUCUGUGCUCACUCAAGAAGCGUUUUGGCCCCCAAAUAGUCCAGGCCUUAAUCGAUUGGACUACUACGUUUGGAGCGUUGUUGAGAGAUUCAGUAAUAAGUCGAGACACCUUUAUGUGGCAUCUCUACGGACCGCAAUUCAAUAAGCAAUCGCAGACAUAGGCUGAGAUCAAAUGCAGAGAGCAUGUUCUCGCUUCAAGCUGAGGAUUGAGGAAGUGGUGAUAGAAGAUCAAAGAUGGCUAUAUAGAGUGAAAGUUUACAGAAAGUGUCCCAUAAACAAAAUAUGCAAAUAAUUUUUUGGCUUUAUCAGCAUCUAAUCACCGCGCAGAAUGUCGACGAUUGUCAUAAAAGAUCUACUUUUCAUUACAUGUUACUAUUCGAUUGAAUAUUCCUUUAUUAUUGUGCCAGGAAAGCAAUGAAAAGCUGAUUAUCGGCGAAGCUUGUUUCUCUCAGUUCAGGUAGUAUUCACUUGUCAAGCUUUUCCACUUUCUCUAUGCCCUUGAGGUAUCGGGAAACAGUUGAAUAGUGAACAAUAAAGUGCAUUGUAUGCAAUAUCUCGAACUAAUAAAUACGAGAUUGCUUUAACUAUGUCUUUCAAAACACUGUCAUCAAUCGCUGAAAUAGUAUGACUGCAAAACAAAUUGUCGAGGUUUGUAUCACCAGACCGAAGCUCUUCGAACCAACGUCUGGUGAUUCGAUCACUUACAGAACCUUUCCCAAAAGCAGUGUUUAUGUUUUGCGUUGCCUCGACCGCAGUAAGCCAAGAUUAAAUUCGUAUAAAAAUAUUAUUCGCAAUUUCUUUCUUUUCAUGUCGAAAAAACAGUGAUUUUCAACGAUGUAAUCAAUAUAAUAAAAGUAAGGUUGUGCGUGCGAAUUCACAUGUGAGACAUAUACUUUUCGAAUAUACGUACAAUAAUAGCUAUAUAAGAAAAGCUAAUUUAGUCUGGCUGUGUGGAAAGAGAUUCACAUUGAAUGAAGAGAUCGUCGACAAAUCAGAGGCCUAUUUUGCAGAGUUUAACAAAUGGUAUUUUUCAGAAGGCUUAAAAAUGGCAGUGGGAAAAGUGUAUUCUCCUAAAAGAGGAUUACGUUAAAAAAUAAAAAAAAUGUUUGUGAUAAACUUGCGCCUUCAUUACUAACACCGGUACUUAUUGAUUUAUCCUCAUAAAAUGGGCAGUUUUAUUCUUGAAUUAUGUCUGAAUAAAACAGUAUCAUGUUCUUGUCCAUUUCCCAUACAGUAUUAUUAUAACUAAUAAGAAUAUAUUAAUAUUAGACAGUAAUUGGAUGGAUGUCUAGGAAAUCUGCUUAUAAUUCUACCAGGAAAUUUCACAGAU
This is a long non-coding RNA of Dinoponera quadriceps, 2141 nucleotides long. RefSeq lists it as uncharacterized. The record is from RefSeq and is a predicted model, not a curated record. NCBI's taxonomy places the organism in Eukaryota, Metazoa, Arthropoda, Insecta, Hymenoptera, Formicidae. The transcript is spliced from 5 exons.